CUGCCCCCUGUGAGCUUCCCUUUGUCAUCCUAUGCCUGAGCCAUCCUGGAGGCUGGGACGGCCAAGGGAGGCCCACGGGAGCCACA
RNAcentral lists this microRNA precursor (86 nucleotides) under Manacus vitellinus (golden-collared manakin). RNAcentral's name for it is "mir-204 microRNA precursor family". It matches the Rfam family "mir-204 microRNA precursor family". The record is from Rfam by way of RNAcentral. Lineage: Eukaryota; Metazoa; Chordata; Aves; Passeriformes; Pipridae.